Molecule: ribosomal RNA, 885 nt
Filed under: uncultured bacterium
Lineage: Bacteria
Description: bacterial SSU rRNA
Rfam family: Bacterial small subunit ribosomal RNA
Source: RNAcentral
GCAGUCGAGGGGCAUCGGGAGGGAAGCUUGCUUUCCUUGCCGGCGACCGGCGCACGGGUGAGUAACACGUAUGCAACCUGCCCUCUUCAGGGGGACAACCUUCCGAAAGGGAGGCUAAUCCCGCGUAUAUCGGUUUCGGGCAUCCGAGAUCGAGGAAAGAUUCAUCGGAAGAGGAUGGGCAUGCGGCGCAUUAGCUAGACGGCGGGGUAACGGCCCACCGUGGCGACGAUGCGUAGGGGUUCUGAGAGGAAGGUCCCCCACACUGGUACUGAGACACGGACCAGACUCAUACGGGAGGCAGCAGUGAGGAAUAUUGGUCAAUGGGAGAGAUCCUGAACCAGCCAAGCCGCGUGAGGGAAGACGGCCCUAUGGGUUGUAAACCUCUUUUGUCGGAGAACAAAACCCGGGACGAGUCCCGGACUGCGUGUAUCCGAAGAAAAAGCAUCGGCUAACUCCGUGCCAGCAGCCGCGGUAAUACGGAGGAUGCGAGCGUUAUCCGGAUUUAUUGGGUUUAAAGGGUGCGUAGGCGGUCCGUUAAGUCAGCGGUAAAAUUGCGGGGCUCAACCCCGUCGAGCCGUUGAAACUGGCAGACUUGAGUUGGCGAGAAGUACGCGGAAUGCGCGGUGUAGCGGUGAAAUGCAUAGAUAUCGCGCAGAACUCCGAUUGCGAAGGCAGCGUACCGGCGCCAGACUGACGCUGAGGCACGAAAGCGUGGGGAUCGAACAGGAUUAGAUACCCUGGUAGUCCACGCAGUAAACGAUGAAUGCUGGUUGUCCGGGUCGAAUGAGACCUGNGCGGCGAAGCGAAAGCGAUAAGCAUUCCACCUGGGGAGNACGCCGGCAACGGUGAAACUCAAAGGAAUUGACGGGGGCCCGCACAAGCGGA